AACGAACGCUGGCGGCAUGCCUAACACAUGCAAGUCGAACGAGACCUUCGGGUCUAGUGGCGCACGGGUGCGUAACGCGUGGGAACCUGCCCUUAGGUUCGGAAUAACUCCCCGAAAGGGGUGCUAAUACCGGAUAAUGUCUUCGGACCAAAGAUUUAUCGCCUUUGGAUGGGCCCGCGUUGGAUUAGCUAGUUGGUAGGGUAAAAGCCUACCAAGGCGACGAUCCAUAGCUGGUCUGAGAGGAUGAUCAGCCACACUGGGACUGAGACACGGCCCAGACUCCUCCGGGGGGGAGCAGGGGGGAAUAUGGGAAAAUGGGCGAAAGCCUGAUCCAGCAAUGCCGGGGGGGUGAUGAAGGCCUUAGGGUUGUAAAGCUUUUUUACCCGGGAUGAUAAUGACAGUACCGGGAGAAUAAGCCCCGGCUAACCCCGU
This 432-nucleotide ribosomal RNA is filed under the name uncultured bacterium. Its description in RNAcentral is "partial 16S ribosomal RNA". It matches the Rfam family "Bacterial small subunit ribosomal RNA", at positions 29 to 506 of the family's 1533-position model. The record is from RNAcentral.